This 350-nucleotide ribosomal RNA is filed under the name Streptomycetaceae bacterium ACTS172. RNAcentral describes it as "bacterial SSU rRNA". It matches the Rfam family "Bacterial small subunit ribosomal RNA", at positions 14 to 365 of the family's 1533-position model. The record is from RNAcentral. Lineage: Bacteria; Bacillati; Actinomycetota; Actinomycetes; Kitasatosporales; Streptomycetaceae.
UGAUCCUGGCUCAGGACGAACGCUGGCGGCGUGCUUAACACAUGCAAGUCGAACGAUGAACCACCUUCGGGUGGGGAUUAGUGGCGAACGGGUGAGUAACACGUGGGCAAUCUGCCCUGCACUCUGGGACAAGCCCUGGAAACGGGGUCUAAUACCGGAUACUGAACCGCUUGGGCAUCCAGGCGGUUCGAAAGCUCCGGCGGUGCAGGAUGAGCCCGCGGCCUAUCAGCUUGUUGGUGAGGUAACGGCUCACCAAGGCGACGACGGGUAGCCGGCCUGAGAGGGCGACCGGCCACACUGGGACUGAGACACGGCCCAGACUCCUACGGGAGGCAGCAGUGGGGAAUAUU